Marmota flaviventris (yellow-bellied marmot) is the source of this 1442-nucleotide long non-coding RNA. RefSeq lists it as uncharacterized. The record is from RefSeq and is a predicted model, not a curated record. NCBI's taxonomy places the organism in Eukaryota, Metazoa, Chordata, Mammalia, Rodentia, Sciuridae.
GGAGGUGAUGGCUGGCGAUUGACCCAUGACCCACCCUCUCACCAUGUGCAACUGGGAGAUUUCUGUGAGCAAACAAAUAAACACCACAGGAACAGAUGCCUCGGAAAGAGCUCACACAAGAGAAUGCAGCAUGCCCAGGACCGUCAUAGCCAACAUCCAACAGCACCACACCACAGCCCAGCCAGCCAGAUGUCCAGUGCUCCUCUCCCACCUCCCUCACCCCCGAGGACACAGUUUGGACCUCACUGCUCACUCCCACUUAAAUGAACACAAUGGCAAAAGCAGCCAAGGAACGAUGAGUAUGGACUCCUGCUCCAGUGGAUUCAGGAAUUAGGAAGAAGGGAUGUGGGAGUGGUCCAUGUUGGCUAACAGUAAGACAGCCUGCCGUUACUGGGAUUGCCCAAAACUGACCCCAUGUCACGUCUGCAAGAUGAAUUGCCUAAUUGAAUCCCUCCAGCAGUUCCAUGAGAUAGAUACUAUCACUAGAUCCAGUAUACAGCCAGGAAAACAUGAGCAUAUAGAAGGGAAGCUAGAAUGGGGAUUUUAUAUCAGCUGGCCUCAGACCUACAACACCCAUUAUCUCCGCCCCCUAGAGAAGAACCUGACACAUGUGGAGAAGAGUAUAGAACCGCAUGGCAUGAAAGACUUCGAGAGAAAUAACUAGUAAGCCGACUUGGUGAAAUAAGAGAAUCCAGGGGCCAACCAGUUGUCAAAGGCAAAAAACAGGUUUUAGCACUGACUGCAUCCAAGGAAAGCACUCAGUACCAGGCUAAACCAGGAUGGCUGGUCACCUUGUCUCAAGUCUCAGAUGACCAAACAGCUUCUUAGAGCAACAACUCUUUGAUCUCAGCUGGAUGUGCCUAAUACCACUGUAACAGAUUUGGCAGGGAAGCUGGGGAAUGCAACUGAUGCAGUGUGGCUGAAUUUCGGAAAGUCUCCCAUGAGAUCUUUCGAAGGAAAAGACACAACUGAGUGCCUACAGUUACACGGAGGCACGAUGACCUAACAACAGCCAAGCCCAAGGAUCACUGUUCACUCAAUGGGCCUUUCAUGCCUAAAGCAAAAGUCCAUGGCAUUCAUCUGAGUUGUGAAGGUGCAGCAGUGAACAAGACAGACCGACAUCUCUCCCCCUUGGAGGAGAGUUUCUACGGAGGGGAAUGUGGAGAAAGAUACUAAGCAGUAAGUCCUGCAGUGUGUCAGAUGGUGGAAAGCAUCAUGGAAGAAAAGACGGAACUGCCAGAAUAAUAGGACUGCGAAAUUCAAAAGGGAAGAGGGAGAAUUCAUCACUGAGAAAGUGACAACUGAACAAAGACUGCAAGGACAUGAGGGAGGUCGCCCAUUGGGCAUCCAGGAGAAGAGGGCAAAGGAGAAGGGAAGAGCCAACACAAAGACCCUGUCUUAGUCAACUUUCUCACUGCUGUGACCAAAGGACCCGACCAGCA